This 633-nucleotide ribosomal RNA is filed under the name uncultured bacterium. Its description in RNAcentral is "bacterial SSU rRNA". It matches the Rfam family "Bacterial small subunit ribosomal RNA", at positions 159 to 809 of the family's 1533-position model. The record is from RNAcentral.
AUCGCUAAUACCGCAUAACGUCCGGAUGGGACAUCCUGUCUGGACCAAAGGAGAAAUCCGCUGAGAGAUGGGCUCGCGUCCAAUUAGCUGGUUGGCGGGGUAAAGGCCCACCAAGGCGACGAUUGGUAGCCGGACUGAGAGGUUGAACUGCCACAUUGGGACUGAGACACGGCCCAGACUCCUACGGGAGGCAGCAGUGGGGAAUAUUGCACAAUGGGGGGAACCCUGAUGCAGCGACGCCGCGUGAGGGAAGAAGGUUUUCGGAUUGUAAACCUCUGUCCUCUGUGACGAUAAUGACGGUAGCAGAGGAGGAAGCCACGGCUAACUACGUGCCAGCAGCCGCGGUAAUACGUAGGUGGCGAGCGUUAUCCGGAAUUACUGGGUGUAAAGGGAGCGUAGGCGGGGGAACAAGUUGAAUGUUUAAGAUAUGGGCUCAACUCAUAUAAGCGUUCAAAACUGUUUUUCUUGAGUGAAGUAGAGGUAAGCGGAAUUCCUAGUGUAGCGGUGGAAUGCGUAAAUAUUAGGAGGAACACCAGUGGCGAAGGCGGCUUACUGGGCUUUAACUGACGCUGAGGCUCGAAAGCGUGGGUAGCAAACAGGAUUAGAUACCCUGGUAGUCCACGCUGUAAACGA